RNAcentral lists this ribosomal RNA (1528 nucleotides) under metagenome. RNAcentral describes it as "bacterial SSU rRNA". It matches the Rfam family "Bacterial small subunit ribosomal RNA". The record is from RNAcentral.
AGAGUUUGAUUCUGGCUCAGGACUAACGUUGGCGGCGUGCCUAAUACAUGCAAGUCGUACGGGAUUUUCCGGGGCAACCCGGGAAUUCCAGUGGCAAACGGGUGAGUAAUACAUGGGUAACUUUCCUUAAAGUUCGGGACAACCAUCCGAAAGGGUGGCUAAUACCGGAUGUGGACAUGAAACCGCAAGGUUUUAUGUUUAAAGGUGGCCUCUACUUGUAAGCUAUCGCUUUAAGAUAGGCCCAUGUCCAAUUAGCUUGUUGGUGAGGUAAUGGCUCACCAAAGCUACGAUUGGUAGCCGGCCUGAGAGGGUGUUCGGCCACACUGGGACUGCGACACGGCCUAGACUCCUACGGGAGGCAGCAGUAGGGAAUCUUCCGCAAUGGGCGAAAGCCUGACGGAGCGACGCCGCGUGAGGGAUGAAGGUCUUCGGAUCGUAAACCUCUUUCGUUAAGGAAUAAAUGUUGCAUGGUAAAUAAUCAUGCAGCUUGACGGUACUUAAGGAAGAAGCUUCGGCUAACUCUGUGCCAGCAGCCGCGGUAAUACAGAGGAAGCAAACGUUGUCCGGAUUCACUGGGCGUAAAGGGAUCGUAGGUGGCCAAUUAGGUCAGGUGUGAAAUCGUUCUGCUCAACAGGACAAUUGCAUUUGAUACUGUUUGGCUUGAGUGCAGAAGGGGAAAUUGGAAUUUCCGGUGUAGCGGUGAAAUGCGUAGAUAUCGGAAAGAACACCCGUGGCGAAGGCGGAUUUCUGGUCUGCAACUGACACUGAGGAUCGAAAGCCAGGGGAGCAAACGGGAUUAGAUACCCCGGUAGUCCUGGCUGUAAACUGUGCACACUAGGUGUAGGUGGUUCAUUCCAUCUGUGCCGACGCUAACGCAUUAAGUGUGCCACCUGGGAACUACGACCGCAAGGUUGAAACUCAAAGAAAUUGACGGGGGUCCGCACAAGCGGUGGAGCAUGUGGUUUAAUUCGACGCAACGCGAAGAACCUUACCUAGGCUUGACAUGCUGGUGCAAUCUCCCUGAAAGGGGAGCCCUCUAUCAGUAAUGAUAGGCACCAGCACAGGUGUUGCAUGGUUGUCGUCAGCUCGUGCCGUGAGGUGUUGGGUUAAGUCCUCUAACGAGCGCAACCCCUAUUGUUAGUUGCUAACGGGUAAUGCCGAGAACUCUAGCGAGACUGCCUGGGAUAACCAGGAGGAAGGCGGGGACGACGUCAAAUCAUCAUGGCCCUUAUGUCUAGGGAUACACACGUGCUACAAUGGCAGGUACAGCGAGCUGCAAAACCGCGAGGUUGAGCCAAUCUCUAAAAGCCUGUCUCAGUUCGGAUUGGAGUCUGCAAUUCGACUCCAUGAAGCUGGAAUCGCUAGUAAUCGUAGAUCAGCUACGCUACGGUGAAUACGUUCCCGGGCCUUGUACACACCGCCCGUCACACCACGAAAGUUAUUUGUACCAGAAGACGCCGAUCCAACCCGCAAGGGAGGUAGGCGGCCAAGGUAUGAAUAAUAAUUGGGGUGAAGUCGAAACAAGGUA